RNAcentral lists this ribosomal RNA (431 nucleotides) under uncultured bacterium. Its description in RNAcentral is "bacterial SSU rRNA". It matches the Rfam family "Bacterial small subunit ribosomal RNA", at positions 340 to 786 of the family's 1533-position model. The record is from RNAcentral.
UACGGAAGGCAGCAGUGGGGAAUAUUGGACAAUGGGCGAAAGCCUGAUCCAGCCAUGCCGCAUGAGUGAAGAAGGCCUUCGGGUUGUAAAGCUCUUUUAGUGAGAAAGAUAAUGACGGUACUCACAGAAGAGGUCCUGGCUAACUCCGUGCCAGCAGCCGCGGUAAUACGGAGAGGGCUAGCGUUAUUCGGAAUUAUUGGGCGUAAAGAGCGCGUAGGCUGAUUAGUAAGUUAAAAGUGAAAUCCCAAAGCUUAACUUUGGAAUUGCUUUUUAAAACUGCUAGUCUAGAGAUUGAAAGAGGAUAGAGGAAUUCCUAGUGUAGAGGUGAAAUUCGUAAAUAUUAGGAGGAACACCAGUGGCGAAGGCGUCUAUCUGGUUCAAAUCUGACGCUGAGGCGCGAAGGCGUGGGGAGCAAACAGGGAUUAGAUACC